Molecule: long non-coding RNA, 1535 nt
Organism: Dreissena polymorpha
Lineage: Eukaryota; Metazoa; Mollusca; Bivalvia; Myida; Dreissenidae
Exons: 5
Source: RefSeq, a predicted model, not a curated record
GUCAAGAACACUGCGAUUUUGCGAAUGUAGUUACUGUAGUCACUCGAAGUUUUGAAUGUUACAAAAGGAUUAAAAUGUAAGUCUCUAUCGCUUUCUACAAUUAUUCUGCGGCGUUUUUGAGGUGCCUCUCAAAACUUGGAAAUGGCGAUGGACAUUGGUUGCUCGGAGCAGAAUAAAUGUUGAUGUUAAAAGUUCCUCCGAAAAUGCUUCCAGCGAACAUGUUAUUUAAACCGCCAUGAAACGUGUACUGAGAAGCAUGUGCUGCGGAAUUCGUUGUGUAUUUGUGACUGACAUCUGGUUCAACUGAUAAGGAAACGGCAUUUGCUGGAGAUUGCUGGUGUUCGCCAAGAUAUUGGAGAUGCUUUUGUGUUGCGGUUCAUUGAUGUGGCUGUAGUUAUUGAUGGAAUGCAAGUUUCGAUGGCCAGUGAUCUGCAUGAUGUCGUUUGGCGGAACGUUGUUUUCAGAAAGUUUCUGGACAAGAUGCUUGCUGGCACUAUGAUUCGUCAGACGUUUGUCUUCAGGGAAACCCGCUGCUUUCGCCAUUCUCUUCAUUAUCGAGAAAAUAGAGCAAACCCGUACAACCGAUAGUGCUCAAGACGUUGCCGAUUUAAAAUUAUAAGCAAAUGAAACGUAUCUUCAAGCUGGUCGUGACGUUGUGGCUAUGGCGAUUGGGCUUAGAUAUUGGGACAUCGUGAAUGAGAUCUACAUUCUAUGAGCAUAUAGGGUCCACCCAGGUAACAGACUCACGCGCGAUUAUAUAAGCAUUCGGCUUUCCAUGCAAUCGAGCUACAAUAAAACGAUCACCAAGCUGUCCUGAAAACGUUGGUUACAAAGUCUUUACUCAUAUUACGGAUUGUGACUGGGCUAUAGAAAUGGCGACAACAAGAAAGCAAUGAACAUGAGUUUCAUUUGUAUCCGUUUAACUAUCCGUCUACAUUUAUCGUAAAUAUUUAAUUGUAUGUGUGUCCUUCACAGCACGACACUAUUUGAGGUUAUGUGUGUUGACAUAGUUUGGAUCAAUGCUUAUUGAGAUAUUCUUUCGAAAAAACAAUAAUGUAUUAAGAUUGUGUCGAACGGCGUGGUCAACAUCAUUAACAUCAUUAUCACCAUCAUUUCUUUUCUUCUUCUUCUCCUUCUUCUUCUUUUUAUUAUUAUAACAACAAUAUUGUUUUUUCUUUUUUACGUGAGAUAUCAGUAGACACAACAAAUAACUUAUCACUUAAUUGCAAUGUAUACGUUUUAUUCGCGUUAAUAUGUAAUAAAUGGAAUAGGUUAACGGAAGUAGAAUGCUACAAUACACAUGCAUAUCAGUUGUUCGAUGUUAUUUUAUAAAAAUAUGUAUGUCGACUGAUUUCAACCUAUGUCGUUACAAACUGUAAGCACAAAAGUGUUUAACAAAAACAGGGAAAUACAAAGUCGUGUUUAACGUAUUUAAUACACAAAUGUAUCGUUAGUUUCCCCAGUACAAUAUAAUUAAACCAAUUUUGUUAGCAUAAACAAAUCGAUAUGUAUAAAUAAAUUAUGAUAAAUCGGUG